GUGCUUGUUUGACUUGACAGCACAUAUACCAAAAUUGGAAUGAUACAGAGAUUAACAUGGCCCCUGUUUUAGGAUGACACACAAAUUUGUGAAGUAUUCCAUAUUGAA
This is a small nuclear RNA of Protopterus annectens (West African lungfish), 108 nucleotides long. The record is from RefSeq and is a predicted model, not a curated record. NCBI's taxonomy places the organism in Eukaryota, Metazoa, Chordata, Ceratodontiformes, Protopteridae.